RNAcentral lists this ribosomal RNA (497 nucleotides) under uncultured bacterium. Its description in RNAcentral is "partial 16S ribosomal RNA". It matches the Rfam family "Bacterial small subunit ribosomal RNA", at positions 28 to 507 of the family's 1533-position model. The record is from RNAcentral.
GAUGAACGCUGGCGGCGUGCCUAAUACAUGCAAGUCGAGCGAACGGACGAGAAGCUUGCUUCUCUGAUGUUAGCGGCGGACGGGUGAGUAACACGUGGAUACCCUACCUAUAAGACUGGGAUAACUUCGGGAAACCGGAGCUAAUACCGGAUGAUAUUUUGAACCGCAUGGUUCAAAAGUGAAAGACGGUCUUGCUGUCACUUAUAGAUGGAUCCGCGCUGCAUUAGCUAGUUGGUAAGGUAACGGCUUACCAAGGCAACGAUGCAUAGCCGACCUGAGAGGGUGAUCGGCCACACUGGAACUGAGACACGGUCAAGACUCCUACGGGAGGCAGCAGUAGGGAAUCUGACGCAAUGGGCGAAAGCAUGACGGAGCAACGCCGCGUGAGUGAUGAAGGUCUUCGGAUCGUAAAACUCUGUUAUUAGGGAAGAACAGAUGUGUAAGUAAAUGUGCACAGCUUGACGGUACCUAAUCAGAAAGCCACGGCUAACUACGUG